GCGUGAACAGCAAGCGCAUCUACCCGUGCAUGGUGGACCUGAGCCGCACCUGCGGCGACGUGGACUUCCUCCUGGUCAUGGGCGACGAGUCGGACGCCACGCGGGAGCUGUGCAAGCGGGAGGGCAUCACCCAGGUGCCGCACUUCUCCUUCUACAAGGGCACCGAGAAGGUGCACGAGGAGGAAGGCAUCGGCCCCGACCAGCUCGCCGGCGACGUGCUCUACUACGGCGACAACCACGCCGGCGUCGUGCAGCUGCACAGCCGGGCCGACGUGGAGGCGCUCAUGGCGGAGAACAGCGGCGAGGGCGGGAAGCUGCUGGUGCUGGACGUCGGGCUCAAGCACUGCGGGCCCUGCGUCAAGGUCUACCCCACCGUGGUCAAGCUGUCCCGCUCCAUGGCCGACACAACCGUCUUCGCGCGCAUGAACGGCGACGAGAACGAUGCCUGCAUGGACUUCCUCAAGGACAUGGAGGUCGUGGAGGUGCCCACCUUCCUCUUCAUCAGGGACAACAAGAUCGUCGGCCGCUACGUCGGCUCCGGCAAGGGCGAGCUCAUCGGCGAGAUCCUCAGAUACCAGGGCGUCAGGGUCACAUACUGAACCCACCAAGGCAUCUCACCAGCCGGAAUAAUUAAGUUGGAUUUUCAUCCCACACAUGCAGGCGCAGCACAUAGAAUUACUCCCUUGUGAAUUUGGCCAAAAGUAAAGGAGUACGCGCUCCUGU
RNAcentral lists this long non-coding RNA (723 nucleotides) under Hordeum vulgare. RNAcentral describes it as "long non-coding RNA (HVUL_LNC017033)". The record is from RNAcentral. Lineage: Eukaryota; Viridiplantae; Streptophyta; Magnoliopsida; Poales; Poaceae.